GAUGAACGCUGGCGGCGUGCCUAAUACAUGCAAGUCGAGCGAACAGACGAGGAGCUUGCUCCUCUGACGUUAGCGGCGGACGGGUGAGUAACACGUGGAUAACCUACCUAUAAGACUGGGAUAACUUCGGGAAACCGGAGCUAAUACCGGAUAAUAUAUUUAACCGCAUGGUUCAAUAGUUAAAGACGGUUUUGCUGUCACUUAUAGAUGGAUCCGCGCCGCAUUAGCUAGUUGGUAAGGUAACGGCUUACCAAGGCAACGAUGCGUAGCCGACCUGAGAGGGUGAUCGGCCACACUGGAACUGAGACACGGUCCAGACGACUACGGGAGGCAGCAGUAGGGAAUCUUCCGCAAUGGGCGAAAGCUUGACGGAGCAAAGCCGCGUGAGAGAUGAAGGUCUUCGGAUCGUAAAACUCUGUUAUUAGGGAAGAAAAAAUGUGUAAGUAACUAUGCACGUCUUGACGGUACCUAAUCAGAAAGCCACGGCUAACUACGUG
This 497-nucleotide ribosomal RNA is filed under the name uncultured bacterium. Its description in RNAcentral is "partial 16S ribosomal RNA". It matches the Rfam family "Bacterial small subunit ribosomal RNA", at positions 28 to 507 of the family's 1533-position model. The record is from RNAcentral.